Molecule: long non-coding RNA, 213 nt
Filed under: Mus spicilegus (steppe mouse)
Lineage: Eukaryota; Metazoa; Chordata; Mammalia; Rodentia; Muridae
Description: lncRNA (ENSMSIG00000015677.1)
Source: RNAcentral
AGCAGCCUCCCUGGAGCCGCUCCCCUUCCCCGGUGCGGCUGCUUUGCAUUCCACAGGCACUCUAGACCGAAGGGCUGUUUGUCUAAAUGGCUUGGUACACAGACUUCUCACAUGCUUCAAUUCAGGCUCCAGAUUCUCUGGUCUCUGAGAGACAAAAGGAAUUUCAGUGCAUUCCAUGCGCCUAACAUCUUCCCACAGCAAGAGGAGAGGUGA